GACGAACGCUGGCGGCGUGCUUAACACAUGCAAGUCGAACGGAAAGGCCCUGCUUUUGUGGGGUGCUCGAGUGGCGAACGGGUGAGUAACACGUGAGUAACCUGCCCUUGACUUUGGGAUAACUUCUGGAAACUGGGGCUAAUACCGGAUAGGAGUUGCUGCUGCAUGGCGUUGGCUUGAAAGUUUCGGCGGAUGGGGAAGGAGACGCGGCUUAUCAGCUUGUGGGUGGGGUAGUGGCUUACCAAGGCGUUGACGGGUAGCCGGCCUGAGAGGGUGACCGGCCACAUUGGGACUGAGAUACGACCCAGACUCCUACGGGAGGCAGCAGUGGGGAAUAUUGCACAAUGGGCGGAAGCCGGAUGCAGCAACGCCGCGUGCGGGAUGACGGCCUUCGGGUUGUAAACCGCUUUCGCCUGUGACGAAGCGUGAGUGACGGUAAUGGGUAAAGAAGCACCGGCUAACUACGUG
RNAcentral lists this ribosomal RNA (468 nucleotides) under uncultured bacterium. Its description in RNAcentral is "partial 16S ribosomal RNA". It matches the Rfam family "Bacterial small subunit ribosomal RNA", at positions 28 to 507 of the family's 1533-position model. The record is from RNAcentral.